GAUGAACGCUGGCGGCGUGCCUAAUACAUGCAAGUCGAGCGAACAGAUGAGGAGCUUGCUCCUCUGACGUUAGCGGCGGACGGGUGAGUAACACGUGGAUAACCUACCUAUAAGACUGGGAUAACUUCGGGAAACCGGAGCUAAUACCGGAUAAUAUAUUGAACCGCAUGGUUCAAUAGUGAAAGACGGUUUUGCUGUCACUUAUAGAUGGAUCCGCGCCGCAUUAGCUAGUUGGUAAGGUAACGGCUUACCAAGGCAACGAUGCGUAGCCGACCUGAGAGGGUGAUCGGCCACACUGGAACUGAGACACGGUCCAGACUCCUACGGGAGGCAGCAGUAGGGAAUCUUCCGCAAUGGGCGAAAGCCUGACGGAGCAACGCCGCGUGAGUGAUGAAGGUCUUCGGAUCGUAAAACUCUGUUAUUAGGGAAGAACAAAUGUGUAAGUAACUAUGAACGUCUUGACGGUACCCAAUCAGAAAGCCACGGCUAACUACGUG
RNAcentral lists this ribosomal RNA (497 nucleotides) under uncultured bacterium. RNAcentral describes it as "partial 16S ribosomal RNA". It matches the Rfam family "Bacterial small subunit ribosomal RNA", at positions 28 to 507 of the family's 1533-position model. The record is from RNAcentral.